UUGCGUUUCAACGUUGCCGUCGAAAGAGAGCUCCAAAGAUUACGCGCGGCCGCUGCCACCGUGACCCUGUCGACAAAGGAGAGUUCCACUGCGACCUCUACCUCUCUGUGUUGUGUCUCUGCCUGUGCUGCUCAAAAAGCUUCCAUAUGACAUGGAGACAAUCUUGAUGCAGUGAAGAGCGGGAUUUUGCUGCAGGUUGUUUUACUUUCACGUGUUUUACAACAA
RNAcentral lists this small RNA (225 nucleotides) under Vigna angularis var. angularis. RNAcentral's name for it is "Non-protein coding transcript". The record is from RNAcentral. Lineage: Eukaryota; Viridiplantae; Streptophyta; Magnoliopsida; Fabales; Fabaceae.